AGUAUGCAGCAACAUCAUAGAUGCCUACAUCUGUAUAUGUAUUGUUCAGUUUCUUCACAAUAUUGAGAUAACUACUAUGAUUCAUUCACUACUUGUGAGAGUAACUAAAUAAAAUAAUAGCAUUAUUAAUGUCUUAUAAUAAUAAGGUUUGCCAUUGUGCACUGGGGCCACAAGGAAAAUAAGUGAUAAUAAUCAAUUGUUUCGCUAUUUUUUUCACUUGGGGCCAUAAGGAUGGAGUGAUAAAGGGUAUGUAAACUAUAUAUAUUACAGAAUCCAGCUUGGCAAAAGAUAAUGGAGCGCAGAAUCAUUGAAGGUUUGUGUACACGUGGUAUAGAAUGUUCCAAGACAUGUAUUUUCUCGAGUUCUAUCAAAGGCUCAGUGACAGAGAGAUGAAAGAAGUGUACAGUGGCUUGAAAAAAAUAAAUAAAUUAAAAAAUCCUCAAGUGGAGAGAUGGUACCAACUACCCCCCCUUGCUUUACUCUUGCUUUUAAGUUGUUAUCUCUUCUGGCCUCUGCCAUGCCCUUUACUUGUGAUGUUAUCCAUCCUUUAUCUCUCUAAACAUCUCGAGGUUUGACUGCACGCCUGUGUUUGUCUAAAGCAUUGCACAAAAGCCUUUUCUUCUUGUUUGACGAGGAUCAGUAUGGAUUCUUGAUGCAUGUGCUCAUUUUAACCUCAUUAUGCUGCGUAUGCCGAGGUUUUGACUAAACAUUUAGAAAGGCAUGUGAACUGCAGGGAAUUGUGCUGAAAUUCUGAAAGCACUGCUUUAUCUUUAUGACAUAUUAUGUGAAUGUGACAUACUGUAUGACCACUUUCCCUGGUGCUUGCUCUCACUGUGAAUGAUGUUUUUUCCAAACAGGUAUGACAUCCAUUUCAAUCACUUGUGUGAGCUUUUCUAGUGCCUAGUUAAACUUUUCUUGCUUUGCUUUUUAUGAGAAAAUACCCAAUGGCCUUGGUGGGAUGAAACAACAUGAAAUGGUGGGUACUAUUUCUCUACUAUAAA
Molecule: long non-coding RNA, 1001 nt
Organism: Carassius carassius (crucian carp)
Lineage: Eukaryota; Metazoa; Chordata; Actinopteri; Cypriniformes; Cyprinidae
Exons: 2
Source: RefSeq, a predicted model, not a curated record